Molecule: ribosomal RNA, 453 nt
Filed under: uncultured bacterium
Lineage: Bacteria
Description: bacterial SSU rRNA
Rfam family: Bacterial small subunit ribosomal RNA
Source: RNAcentral
UACGGGAGGCAGCAGUGGGGAAUAUUGCACAAUGGGCGCAAGCCUGAUGCAGCCAUGCCGCGUGUAUGAAGAAGGCCUUCGGGUUGUAAAGUACUUUCAGUCGUGAGGAAGGUGUUAAGGUUAAUAACCUUAGCAAUUGACGUUAGCGACAGAAGAAGCACCGGCUAACUCCGUGCCAGCAGCCGCGGUAAUACGGAGGGUGCGAGCGUUAAUCGGAAUUACUGGGCGUAAAGAGCACGCAGGCGGUUAAUUAAGUUGGAUGUGAAAUCCCCGGGCUUAACCUGGGAAUGGCAUUCAAGACUGGUUAGCUAGAGUCUUGUAGAGGGGGUAGAAUUCCAUGUGUAGCGGUGAAAUGCGUAGAGAUGUGGAGGAAUACCGGUGGCGAAGGCGGCCCCUGGGACAAAGACUGACGCUCAUGUGCGAAAGCGUGGGGAGCAAACAGGAUUAGAUACC